This 1876-nucleotide ribosomal RNA is filed under the name Salmonella enterica. RNAcentral describes it as "partial 23S ribosomal RNA". It matches the Rfam family "Bacterial large subunit ribosomal RNA", at positions 1156 to 2925 of the family's 2925-position model. Lineage: Bacteria; Pseudomonadati; Pseudomonadota; Gammaproteobacteria; Enterobacterales; Enterobacteriaceae. The record is from RNAcentral.
GGCCUGCGCGGAAGAUGUAACGGGGCUAAACCAUGCACCGAAGCUGCGGCAGCGAACGUAUCACCCAAGACAACUUUACGGAGUUGACGAUUGACGGAGCGAAGCGACGUCAAAGCGUUCAUUAAAGUCGAGUUGGCUUAGGGAUACGUUCGUUGGGUAGGGGAGCGUUCUGUAAGCCUGUGAAGGUGUGUCGUGAGGCAUGCUGGAGGUAUCAGAAGUGCGAAUGCUGACAUAAGUAACGAUAAAGCGGGUGAAAAGCCCGCUCGCCGGAAGACCAAGGGUUCCUGUCCAACGUUAAUCGGGGCAGGGUGAGUCGACCCCUAAGGCGAGGCCGAAAGGCGUAGUCGAUGGGAAACGGGUUAAUAUUCCCGUACUUGGUGUUACUGCGAAGGGGGGACGGAGAAGGCUAUGUUGGCCGGGCGACGGUUGUCCCGGUUUAAGCGUGUAGGUGUGUGUUCCAGGUAAAUCCGGUUCACUUUAACACUGAGGCGUGACGACGAGGCACUACGGUGCUGAAGCAACAAAUGCCCUGCUUCCAGGAAAAGCCUCUAAGCAUCAGGUAACACGAAAUCGUACCCCAAACCGACACAGGUGGUCAGGUAGAGAAUACCAAGGCGCUUGAGAGAACUCGGGUGAAGGAACUAGGCAAAAUGGUGCCGUAACUUCGGGAGAAGGCACGCUGACACGUAGGUGAAGUGAUUUACUCAUGGAGCUGAAGUCAGUCGAAGAUACCAGCUGGCUGCAACUGUUUAUUAAAAACACAGCACUGUGCAAACACGAAAGUGGACGUAUACGGUGUGACGCCUGCCCGGUGCCGGAAGGUUAAUUGAUGGGGUCAGCGCAAGCGAAGCUCCUGAUCGAAGCCCCGGUAAACGGCGGCCGUAACUAUAACGGUCCUAAGGUAGCGAAAUUCCUUGUCGGGUAAGUUCCGACCUGCACGAAUGGCGUAAUGAUGGCCAGGCUGUCUCCACCCGAGACUCAGUGAAAUUGAACUCGCUGUGAAGAUGCAGUGUACCCGCGGCAAGACGGAAAGACCCCGUGAACCUUUACUAUAGCUUGACACUGAACAUUGAGCCUUGAUGUGUAGGAUAGGUGGGAGGCUUUGAAGUGUGGACGCCAGUCUGCAUGGAGCCGACCUUGAAAUACCACCCUUUAAUGUUUGAUGUUCUAACGUGGACCCGUAAUCCGGGUUGCGGACAGUGUCUGGUGGGUAGUUUGACUGGGGCGGUCUCCUCCUAAAGAGUAACGGAGGAGCACGAAGGUUGGCUAAUCCUGGUCGGACAUCAGGAGGUUAGUGCAAUGGCAUAAGCCAGCUUGACUGCGAGCGUGACGGCGCGAGCAGGUGCGAAAGCAGGUCAUAGUGAUCCGGUGGUUCUGAAUGGAAGGGCCAUCGCUCAACGGAUAAAAGGUACUCCGGGGAUAACAGGCUGAUACCGCCCAAGAGUUCAUAUCGACGGCGGUGUUUGGCACCUCGAUGUCGGCUCAUCACAUCCUGGGGCUGAAGUAGGUCCCAAGGGUAUGGCUGUUCGCCAUUUAAAGUGGUACGCGAGCUGGGUUUAGAACGUCGUGAGACAGUUCGGUCCCUAUCUGCCGUGGGCGCUGGAGAACUGAGGGGGGCUGCUCCUAGUACGAGAGGACCGGAGUGGACGCAUCACUGGUGUUCGGGUUGUCAUGCCAAUGGCACUGCCCGGUAGCUAAAUGCGGAAGAGAUAAGUGCUGAAAGCAUCUAAGCACGAAACUUGCCCCGAGAUGAGUUCUCCCUGAGACUUAGAGUCUCCUGAAGGAACGUUGAAGACGACGACGUUGAUAGGCCGGGUGUGUAAGCGCAGCGAUGCGUUGAGCUAACCGGUACUAAUGAACCGUGAGGCUUAACCUU